This 403-nucleotide ribosomal RNA is filed under the name Verrucomicrobiota bacterium. Its description in RNAcentral is "Verrucomicrobia bacterium partial 16S ribosomal RNA". It matches the Rfam family "Bacterial small subunit ribosomal RNA", at positions 355 to 776 of the family's 1533-position model. Lineage: Bacteria; Pseudomonadati; Verrucomicrobiota. The record is from RNAcentral.
UGGGGAAUUUUGCACAAUGGGGGAAACCCUGAUGCAGCGACGCCGCGUGAUUUAGAAGGCCUUCGGGUUGUAAAAAUCUUUUGUAUGGGAAGAAAAUGACAGUACCAUACGAAUAAGGACCGGCUAAUUCCGUGCCAGCAGCCGCGGUAAUACGGAAGGUCCAGGCGUUAUCCGGAUUUAUUGGGUUUAAAGGGAGCGUAGGCUGUUUGUUAAGCGUGUUGUGAAAUGUAAGAGCUCAACUUUUAGAUUGCAGCGCGAACUGGCAGACUUGAGUGCGCACAACGUAGGCGGAAUUCAUGGUGUAGCGGUGAAAUGCUUAGAUAUCAUGACGAACUCCGAUUGCGAAGGCAGCUUACGGGAGCGCAACUGACGCUAAAGCUCGAAGGUGCGGGUAUCGAACAGG